CUCAUCAAAGGUAAAACUAAUCCAGCAAGGUCGCCCGACGUGUCGAUGAUCCCGAUAGGAGUCGUGUACCUCUUUCUCAGGACACGGCGGAUGGGCUAGACGUCAGGAUCGCUAAACCUCCGGGUGACCAGAGGGGCGCCGGACAUCGCUCAGGUGGGACCAACACUCAUGGGGAGCACUGGCCCGGGGGUUGAUUAAAUUAGUCCGCGGGUGCCGGCGGGUCCCUAUGCAUUAUUAUAUGGUUAUUAGGCAAAUGUAGUACCAAAGUUGGGCCUUGCCAGACCAGUCUUAAUCUAAAACGAAUUAUCAAGGGUGUCCCCAUAACAACCACGAUCGUGUUAGGAGCGCUCAUUUAUGGAACAUAACACCGGUAGCCGAAAACUAAGGGGGCAAAGGUGGAACAAAACACCAGGCUAGAAAGGCCGAGCCUUCCACCUUUUACCAAGUAUAUAGGUGCAUUAAAUUAAAUAGCAUUUAAUAUGGUGAUAUAACAAGGAACCCAUGCUUUCACAUGGAAGCAAUGCACCUGCAACUAGCAACGCUAACAACAGGGUUAAGCAAGCAGUAACAUAGCCAAUCAGUGGUUUGCUAGGUUGAACAGGUUGAAGGUUUCAUGGCAUUGUUGAGAGGCUAAUAUUUAACAUGUGGUAGGCAACGAGACAUAAUCGAUAGAAACGGUAAACUAGCAUGGCAAUGAUAGUAAUGGUAUCUGAGGAAAUGAUCAUCUUGCCUGAGAUCCCGCUUGGAAUAAGAAUGCCUCCGUGAAGCAGACGAACCGACGUAGUCGAACGGGUCCUCACAAUCCGACACGUUGCGGAACUCUAACGAGACGAAGCAAACCGGAAACAAGAAUCAACACACGAUAUUCACCACACGAUGCACAACAAAAUUGAUGCAUGAGCAGCUGAAUACAUACAAGUCACGACAUGACAAUUCACACAAUCGAACACCACACAUUAAGUGAAGUUCAAUAUGCAACAAGUUGCAUAUUGACGAAACUCCACGUUAAUUAUUUAGUUCUAUCCCGAUUAAGUACACGGCAAUAUUAAAUGUGGUUAAACAUGCGAGAGGUGAAGCGGAAAUGAAACUACCUAUCUAGACAUUUUAAAUGAGGUCGGAAAUGACAUAUAGCAUCUCCGUGACGACCUCACAUGUUAAUUUACAAUUCUGUCCAGAUCUGAACUAAUGCAUUUAAUUGGUUGUUAAACAGGAAAACAAAUAGGUUCACGUGAUUCUACGCGUCAAGGCAAGCAAUCUACACAUAAAGAACAUCUCCAACGGAGCUACGGAUCAAAAGUUACAAGCACCGCAAGAUAUGAUGGCAUGAAUGCAAUAUGUGUGCAACGACGGCUACGAGCACUUCAAAACAUACAACCAGCAAGAUAAAAUGAAACUACACGAGAUUCUAAGCAAGUUUCAUGUAGGACACGAUCAAAUCAGAGCUACGGUUCAACAACUACGAGCGAAACAAGAAAACACUACAAUCUGCCAAAAUCAGCCACAUAGCAUUUUCUACACCCCACAACUACGGGCUACACAACUCCGAUAUGCUCAAGCAAGGCAUGGCACGGAAGAGGGCAAGAAGCACUACUACAAACAACUAACAACAACUAGCAUGGCAUCAUGGAGCACUAGGAAAAGAAGACACAAAAUGGCAUCUCACACACUAUUUCAGACUUAGUGAAAAUUACACCUCAUGAAAGUGCAUUUUUCGAUCUGAAGCAAUAUUGACAGCAGCAAAACCUAUAGCUACAGGNNNNNNNNNNUAAAAUUCACAUCAUGCUAGAGAAACAUAAGGGCUACAACUAACUCCAUUGGACCAACCUCAAAAGAGCUACAGAUCACAAGAUAGAAGCAAGACAAGACAGCAACAAAAUAUAUCAGAUUCCAGACUUAGAAAUAUUUCAGCUCCUCCAAAUCAGCACUAUUUCUAGGAACUUGAGAUCUAUCAAACUACACCUAAACAUGCAUUUCUAUUGCAACUAAAAAUACCAGGGGCUAGUCUAAACACCCAAGAUCAACUCUCUAGUUGACAACUCCGUCAAACGAAGCACGGAAUAAAUCCUACCAAUUAAACAAAAGGGCAACAUAGCAAAAUAUCUCGUGAACUAACUUACUCGAAAGCUAAAACUAAUUGCACAGAAAAAUCCAUGGGAUUUUUCUACCCCAGAAACAUAUAAAAUAUGUGGGGUUGCAAAACAAAAUAAAGCCACACAUAAAUGCGGGAAAAUAACCUAUAUACGGGAAAUUAAACUAGCUGCAAAUCCCUACACGUAAAAAUACAAAUGAACGCUCUAAAAUUCAUGACAAAGGUGUCCCUAGAACAUGGGCAUUUUAUCUAAGGCAUUCGAGCUAUUCGGGUACGCACAGAAAAUAACUACGACAAUAAACCUAUCGAGACAACACCCUAAACUAGACAUACGACACGUCAAACAACGUCAAAUAAAUAUGCAAGUUGUGAAAUCGUGUUCUACUCGCGAAGCUACCCCAAAACCAUAUAAAAUACGCCUCGUUCCGACUUACGGAUAAAAAGUUACGGGCAUUACAAUAUUCGUCUAUUUCCUGAAAUUUAACUAAAUCCGAAAAAAAAAUACCUAGAAUGCUACUGGGCCGAACAGGGAGCGCAAAGUACUAUCUAGCGCAGGGGCGGGGAAUAGUUACCUGAUGGGCUCGGGGAUGUGGGCCAACUCGGAGAAGGAGGUGGUGGGCCUGCGUGGGAGGAGACCGGCCUGGCGGUGGUGGGCCCACUCGGGGGGGNNNNNNNNNNNNNNNNNNNNNNNNNNNNNNNNNNNNNNNNNNNNNNNNNNNNNNNNNNNNNNNNNNNNNNNNNNNNNNNNNNNNNNNNNNNNNNNNNNNNUAGCCUGGCCAUAAGUAUGGCAGGCAGGUUCCAGAGUAAUCCAGGAGUGGAUCACUGGACGGCGGUCAAGAAUAUCCUGAAGUACCUGAAAAGGACUAAGGAGAUGUUUCUCGUAUAUGGAGGUGACAAAGAGCUCGCCGUAAAGGGUUACGUCGAUGCAAGCUUUGACACAGAUCCGGACGACUCUAAGUCGCAGACCGCAUACAUAUUUAUUCUUAAUGGGGGUGCGGUAAGCUGGUGCAGUUCCAAGCAAAGCGUCGUAGCUGAUUCUACAUGUGAAACGGAGUACAUGGCUGCCUCAGAAGCAGCUAAGGAGGGUGUCUGGAUGAAGCAGUUCAUGACGGAUCUAGGAGUGGUGCCGAGCGCACUCAAUACAAUAACCCUGUUUUGUGACAACACGGGUGCCAUUGCCUUAGCAAAGGAACCACGGUUUCACAAGAAGACCAGACACAUCAAACGAUGCUUCAACCUCAUCCGCGCCUACGUCGAGGAGGAGGACGUGAAUAUAUGCAAAGUGCACACGGAUCUGAAUGUGGCAGACCCGCUGACUAAACCUCUUCCACGAGCAAAGCAUGAUGAACACCAGAACUGUAUGGGUGUUAGAUUUAUUACAAUGUAAUUCGCAUGGCGAUGUGAGGACUAGAUUAUUGACUCUAGUGCAAGUGGGAGACUGUUGGAAUUAUGCCCUAGAGGCAAUGAUGAAUAAGUUAUUAUUAUAAUUCCUGUAUCAAGAUAAUCGUUUAUUAUCCAUGCNNNNNNNNNNUAGAUGCAUGUGUGGAUACAUAGACAAAACACUGUCCCUAGCAAGCCUCUAGUUGGGUAGCCAGUUGAUCAAGGAUAGUCAGGGUCUUCUGACUAUGUACAAGGUGUUGUUGCUUAAUAACUGGGUCACAUCAUUGGGUGAAUCAUGUGAUGGACUAGACCCAAACUAAUAGACGUAGCAUGUUGGUCGUGUCAUUUUGUUGCUAUUGUUUUCUGCGUGUCAAGUAUUUNNNNNNNNNNNNNNNNNNNNNNNNNNNNNNNNNNNNNNNNNNNNNNNNNNNNNNNNNNNNNNNNNNNNNNNNNNNNNNNNNNNNNNNNNNNNNNNNNNNNCCGCAACCGCCCCACUCCCGCACCGCGCGUGGCGCUCAGCUGGGCCCCGAGCCGGCCCAGCUAUGCACCUCCAGCAGGCUUUGGCCUCACCCGCGGCCCACCUCCAGCUUCGGCAGCCAGGCCGGCUGCCUUCCUCGGCGCCCUCCAGCCCAAGAGCCCCCCCCCCCCNNNNNNNNNNNNNNNNNNNNNNNNNNNNNNNNNNNNNNNNNNNNNNNNNNNNNNNNNNNNNNNNNNNNNNNNNNNNNNNNNNNNNNNNNNNNNNNNNNNNNNNNNNNNNNNNNNNNNNNNNNNNNNNNNNCUUGGCGCUAUUUACUAAAUUGCGCCUCCAUAUUCGGCCCGUUUGCAUUUAGGAUAUUUCUGUGAUUAAAUAAUUUCAGGAAUUAAUAGAUAUUUAAAACGUUUGUAUCUUUUAAUUCGUAAGUCGGAACGAAGCGAGUAAUAUAUGUAUUUCGCGUAGUUUCUCGUGUAGAACACGUUGGCGCUACUUGCAUAAUUAUUUGAGGUCAUUUAGCGUGUCGUAUGCCUAGUUUAGCGUGCUGUCCUAUUAUGUUUGCACCUCGUAAUAUUUUUUCGCGCGUGUCCGGACUGCCCGUCUACCGUAGAUUAAUGUCCAUGUUUUAGGAAUCAUUUUGCAUGUAUUUUAGAGCGGCCAUUUGUAUUUUUACGUGUAUGGUUUGCCGGUAGUUUAUUUUCCCGUAUAUAGGUGUUUAUCUCGCAUUAAUGUGUGGCAUUAUUUUAUGUUGCAACCCCACAUAUUUUAUAUGUUUUCGGGAUAGAAAAUCCGUGUGAUUUUUAUGUGCAAUUAGUUUUAGCUUUUGAGUAAGUUAGUUCGCGAGAUAUUUUGCCAUGUUGCCCUUUUGUUUGAUUCGUAGGAUUUAAUCCGUUCUUCGUUUGACGGAGUUGUCAACUAGGGAGUUGUUCUUGGGUGUUUAGUCUAGCCCCUCGUAUUUUUGGUUGCAAUAGAAAUGCAUGUUUAGGUGUGAUUUUCUUGCUCUCAAGUUGCUAGAAGUAGUGCUGUUUUAGAGGAGCUGAAAUAUUUCUAAGUCUGGAAUCUGUUCUAUUUUGUUGCUGUCUUGUCCUGCUUGUAUCUUGUGAUCUGUAGCUCUUUUGAGGUUGGUCCAAUGGAGUUAGUUGUAGCCCUUAUGUUUCUCUAGCAUGCUAUAAACUUUCAUGCCAUUUGGAGUCCUGUAGCUAUAGGUUUUGCUGCUGUCAAUAUUGNNNNNNNNNNCUGCACUCUCAUGAGGUGUAAUUUUCACUAAGUCUGAAAUAGUGCGUGAGAUGCCAUUUUGUGUCUUAUUUUCCUAGUGCUCCUUGCUGCCAUGCUAGUUGUUGUUAGUUGUUUGUAGUAGUGCUUCUUGACCUCUUUCGUGCCAUGCCUUUCUUGAGUUUAUCAGAGUUGUGUAGCUCGUAGUUGUGGGGCGUAGAAAAUGCUAUGUGGCUGAUUUUGGCAGAUUGUAGUCAUUUCUUGUUUUGCUCGUAGUUUUUGAACCGUAGCUCCGAUUUGAUCGUGUCCUACAUGAAACUUGCUUAGAGUCUUGUGUAGUUUCAUUUUCUUUUGUUGUUUGUAUGUUUUGAAGUGCUCGUAGCCGUCGUUGCACACAUAUUGCAUUCAUGCCAUCAUAUCUUGCGGUGAUUGUAACUCUUGAUCCAUAGCUCCGUUGGAGAUGAUCUCUAUGUGUAGAUUGCUUGAAAUGACACGUAGAACCACGAGAAACUAUUUGUUUUGCUGUUUAACAACUAAUUAAAUGUGUUAGUUCAGAUCUGGACAGAAUUGUAAAUUAACAUGUGAGGUCGUCUCGGAGGUGCUAUAUGUCAGUUCCGACCUCAUUUAAAAUGCCUAGAUAGGUAGUUUAAUUGCGCUUCACCUCUUGCCACGUUUAAUCACAUUUAAUAUUGCCGAGUAUCUAAUCGGGAUAGAACUAAAUAAAUAAACGUGAAGUUUUGUCAAUAUGCAACUCGUGGCAUAUUGAACUUCACUUAAUGUGUAGUGUUUGAUUGUGUGAAUUGUCAUGACGUGACUUGCAUGUAUCCAGCUGCUCAUGCAUCAUUUGUGUUGUGCAUCGUGUGCUGAAUUCCGUGUGAUGAUUUGUGUUUCCGGUUUGCUUCUUCUCGAUAGAGCUCCGCACGCGUGCCGGAUUGUGAGGACCCGUUCAACUACGUCGGUUCGUCUGCUUCAGGGAGGCAUUCUUCUUCCAAGCGGGAUCUCAGGCAAGAUGAUCAUUUCCCCAGAUACCAUUAAUAUCAUUGCCAUGCUAGUUUUAUCGUUUCUGUCGUUAUGUCUCGUUGCCUACCACAUGUUAAAUUCAGCCUCUCGACAAUGCCAUGAUAACCUUCAACCUGUUCGACCUAGCAAACCACUGAUUGGCUAUGUUACUGCUUGCUUAACCCUGUUGAUAGCGUUGCUAGUUGCAGGUGCAGAUGCCUCCAUGUGAAAACAUGGGUUCCUUGUUAUAUCACCAUAUUAAAUGGUAUUUAAUGUAAUGCACCUAUAUACUUGGUAAAAGGUGGAAGGCUCGGCCUUUCUAGNNNNNNNNNNNNNNNNNNNNNNNNNNNNNNNNNNNNNNNNNNNNNNNNNNNNNNNNNNNNNNNNNNNNNNNNNNNNNNNNNNNNNNNNNNNNNNNNNNNNAAAGCAUUCCUCCGGUGUCAGUGAGUUAUAUGAUCUCAUGGUCAUAGGAAUAAAUACUUGACACGCAGAAAACAAUAGCAACAAAAUGACACGACCAACNNNNNNNNNNCCCACCUCCUCCUUUUUUUUCUUUCUCUUUGAUUUUUAUCUCUAUGGCGCAUAGGGCACUUGUGGGCUGUCCCACCAGCCCACUAAGGGCUGGUGUGCCUCCCUCAAGGCCUAUGGGCUUCCCCGGGGUGGGUUGCCCCCCCCGGUGAACUCCCGGAACCCAUUCGUCAUUCCCGGUACAUUCCCGGUAACUCCGAAAACCUUCCGGUAAUCAAAUGAGGUCAUCCUAUAUAUCAAUCUUCGUUUCCGGACCAUUCCGGAAACCCUUGUGACGUCCGUGAUCUCAUCCGGGACUCCAAACAACAUUCGGUAACCAACCAUAUAACUCAAAUACGCAUAAAACAACGUCGAACCUUAAGUGUGCAGACCCUGCGGGUUCGAGAACUAUAUAGACAUGACCCGAGAGACUCCUCGGUAAAUAUCCAAUAGCGGGACCUGGAUGCCCAUAUUGGAUCCUACAUAUUCUAUGAAGAUCUUAUCGUUUGAAUCUCGGUGCCAAGGAUUCAUAUAAUCCCGUAUGUCAUUCCCUUUGUCCUUCGGUAUGUUACUUGCCCGAGAUUCGAUCGUCAGUAUCCGCAUACCUAUUUCAAUCUCGUUUAUCGGCAAGUCUCUUUACUCAUUCCGUAAUACAAGAUCCCGCAACUUACACUAAGUCACAUUGCUUGCAAGGCUUGUGUGUGAUGUUGUAUUACCGAGUNNNNNNNNNNGAAGACACUGACUAUCAUUGAUCAACUGGCUAGCCAACUAGAGGCUUGCUAGGGACGAUGAUUUGUCUAUGUAUCCACACAUGUAAAUGAGUCUUCAUUCAAUACAAUUAUAGCAUGGAUAAUAAGCGAUUAUCUUGAUACAGGAAUUAUAAUAAUAACUAUAUUUAUCAUUGCCUCUAGGGCAUAAUUCCAACAGAAAAAUCAGGUAUAUUUGAUAUACAUGUUAUUGAUGUGUACUUAACCAGCUCUCGUAGUAGUGCCUGGGUAUUCGAUACCGGUUCUGUUGCUCAUAUUUGCAACUCGAAACAGGAACUGCGGAAUAAGCGAAGGCUGGCAAAGGAUGAAGUGACGAUGCGCGUGGGAAAUGGAUCCAAGGUUGAUGCAAUCGCCGUCGGCACAGUUUCACUUCAGUUACCAUCAGGAUUAGUUAUGAACUUAAAUAAUUGUUAUUUAGUGCGUGCGUUAAGCAUGAACAUUAUAUCUGGAUCUUGUUUAUUGCGAGACGGUUACUCGUUUAAGUCAGAGAAUAAUGGUUUUUCUAUUUUUGUGAGUAAUAUCUUUUAUGGUCAUGCACCCAAUGUGAGAGGAUUGUUCAUAUUGAAUCUUGAUAGUGAUAAUACAAAUAUACAUAACAUUGACACCAAAAGAGUUAGAGUUAACAAUGAUAGCGCCAUGUUUUUAUGGCACUGCCGCUUAGGUCAAAUGGGUGUAAAGUGCAUGAAGAAACUCCAUACUGAUGGACUUUUGGAGUCACUUGACUUUGAUUCACUUGACACGUGUGAACCAUGCCUCAUGGGCAAGAUGACUAAAACUCCGUUCUCCGGAACAAUGGAGCGUGCAAGUGACUUGUUGGAAAUCAUACAUACCGAUGUGUGUGGUCCGAUGAGUGUGGAGGCACGCGGCGGAUAUCGUUAUUUUCUCACUUCACUGACGAUUUGAGUAGAUAUGGUUAUGUCUACUUGAUGAAGCACAAGUCUGAAACAUUUGAAAAGUUCAAACAAUUUCAGAGUGAAGUUGAAAAUCAUCGUAACAAGAAGAUCAAGUUCCUACGGUCUGAUCGUGGGGGUGAAUAUCUCAGUUUCGAGUUUGGUGCUUGAUACGUCUCCAUCGUAUCUACUUUUACAAACUCCUUUCCCUUGUUUUGGACUCUAAUUUGCAUGAUUUGAAUGGAACUAACCCGAACUGACGUUGUUUUCAGCAGAAUUGCCAUGGUGUUGUUUUUGUGCAGAAAUGGAAGUUCUCGGAACGUCCUGAAAAUUUGCGGAGAAUAUUUCUGGAAAAUAUGAGAAAUACCUGCGCAAAGAUCCACCGAAGGGGACGGGCCAGUGGGCCACAAGCCCUGUGGCCGCGGCCACCCCCCCCCCCCCNNNNNNNNNNUGAUCAUCAAGACCCGCCAGGCCGGGAUCUCCCAGACAUCCAAGUCGCCCCAGCCCCUCUUGUCAGGAGCGGCGGACGAGUGGGGGUGCCGUGCUUGGCCCCUGCCCUUCGCAACGAACGAAUGCCCAAGGAUUUUAAAGGACCAAGAAAGGUGCCUAACUACACUCCGGACCUUGAGCCGGCGUCAUGGGUCGAGAGUUAUGAAAUCGCCAUGGACAUGCUCGACGUAAACGAAGCAGUUUGCGCCAGAUACUUCACAAUGAUGCUCAAAGGGACAACGUGUACUUGGUUAAAAAACUUACCCCCAACUCCAUCCAGACCUGGGCUGAAUUGAAAGAGCGCUUCAUCAAAAACUUCCGAGGAAACUGCAAACGUCCAAUGACGAUUGUCGAUCUGCAGCACUGCGUUCAACGCCCCGAUGAGUCGGCCCACCACUGGUCACGGCGGGUCGCGGAAAUCAUUUACUCAUCAGAUGGUAUUACGGCGGCUCAGGCUGUGCUGAUUGUCGAGAAGAAUUGCCACUACGAACCUCUGGUACAGAAGUUGGGGCGACUCAAGCGAAAGGUCCAAGACAUGGGGGAGCUAAUGGAUACCCUCACUAGGUACGCUGAGGCGGACGACACCAAAGAUCCCGGUGAGGACGGUAAAGCUAACUCACCAAGGAAGGGCGAGUCAUCCAAAAAUCAUACCCGGUUCCAGGGACGCAACCGCCACAAUCAGGCAGCGAAUAGCAAGAGAAGGCAGCAGGAAGAAUCUUCAGAUUUAGUCGCCAAUACCAACACCAACAAUGGCAACCAACGCCAGAAGAAAAGCAGGGGAUACAGUGGUAAAAAGCCGCGCAACUAUGAAGAGUUACUCAAGGGCCCCUGCCCGCACCACGCCAUGGCAGACGGACCGGCGACUCAUUCCUUGGAGAACUGUUACGUGAUGCGGGAGUUUCGGGCGGAGGCGAUCAAAAAAGGGAAAAGUGAUGACCCGGACCAACGGCAGGAACAGUUCGGUGCACCCAACCAACGUCAGAACCCCUUCGGCGGUUUUCCUGAACCGGGGGCUCAGGGUGGCUCGCAGCCGAGCAGCGGCCAGUAUCCAGUGCAUCACCAGCGACGGUAUAACCCGCCCGGAGUUUUUCAGCAACCACCCCUACAGGGGGCUUCGCAGGGCCAGGAUGACAACGACGGCUUCUGCAACAACCCCAAACAGUUAAGCAAUGGGCAGUACCACGUUUUCACCACCAAUGCUUGCAGGCGUGAUAAAAAGGUGAGUCACCGAGCGUACAGUGUGUCUGAGCCGGAACUCCCCAGGUACCUCCACUGGUCCGAGCAGACCAUAUCAUGGAGUAGGGAGGAUCAUCCACCAAGAGUUGACAAUCCCGGCGAUUUAGCGUUGGUCGUGGCUCCCCAAGUUGGGGGGUAUACCCUGUCAAAAGUACUAAUGGAUGGUGGCAGCAGCAUCAAUAUUUUGUAUUUUGACACUUUCCAAAGGAUGAACUUGUUAGAAAAAGAUUUGAUGCCUUCAACCACGGUAUUCCACGGAAUCGUCCCAGGCAAAUCGGCGUGCCCCAUAGGCCGAGUCAGACUCACAGUUGCAUUUGGAACAGCAUCUAACUACAGGAGUGAGUCGCUGAUGUUUGAGGUGGUUAAAUUGAAAAGCCCCUACCAUGCGCUGUUUGGGCGGCCGCCUUACGCCCGGUUCAUGGCUCGCCCAUGCUAUGUUUACCUUAAACUCAAGAUGCCUGGUCCUAAAGGACCCAUCACGGUUGACGGUGAUAGAAGGAUUGCAAGGGAAUGUGAAGAAGGGGACGCGGCUUACGCGGAAGUCGCCUGCGCUGCGGAGGAGCUCAAAUAUCAUCGGGCCAAUGUUGAUCCGGCUGAUAUGUCGCCCUUAAAAAAGCCAACGACAGAUGCUGAGCCGCCCCUCAAGUUCAAACCAAUGGAUGACACUAAAACGGUUGAUUUCGUUCCUGGCGACUCAACCAAGCAGUUCAUCAUUGGGACGGGUCUGGAUCCCAAAUAGGAAAGCGCGCUCAUCGAAUUCAUCCGUGAGAAUCGAGACAUCUUCACAUGGAAACCUUCUGACAUGCCUGGUGUGCCGAGAGAAUUCGCUGAGCACCAUCUUAAUGUUGACCCAAAGGCAAAACCUAUCCAUCAGUAUCUUCAUAGGUUUAACGAGGAACGACACAAGGCAAUCGGGGAAGAGGUUGCCCGUCUCUUGGCCGCCGGAUUCAUCGUAGAAGUUUUUCACCCCAAAUGGUUGGCUAACCCGGUCUUGGUGCUCAAAAAGAAUGGUACCUUCCGUAUGUGCAUUGAUACACGGACCUCAACAGAGCUUGUCCAAAAGAUCCUUUCGCUCUUCCCCGCAUCGACCAGAUUAUUGACUCGGUGGCGGGAUACGAACGUUUGUGCUUAUUGGACGCCUACUCUGGAUAUCACCAAAUCAAGAUGGCCGUGGAGGAUCAAGAGAAAACAGCUUUUAUAACCCCCUUUGGGGCUUUUUGCUAUGUGUCCAUGCCAUUUGGACUCAAGAGUGCAGGGGCGACUUAUCAGCGCUGCAUCCAGAAUUGCCUCCGUAGACAAAUCGAACGCAACGUCCACGCCUAUGUCGAUGACAUUGUGAUUAAAACCCGCCAGGGGGAGACGCUAUUGGAAGAUCUCAAGGAAACUUUUGAUAAUUUGCGGGUAUAUCAGAUGAAGCUAAAUCCCACCAAGUGUGUUUUUGGUGUUCCUGCAGGAAAAUUGUUGGGCUUCCUGGUGUCUGAGCGUGGCAUCGAAGCUAACCCGGACAAAAUCGAAGCAGUUACUUCCCUUGGGAAGCCAACAAAUGUUAACCAAGUCCAACGGAUGGCGGGUCGCAUUGCGGCCUUAAGUCGCUUCAUAAGCCGCCUGGGAGAAAAGGCGAUUCCCCUUUAUCAAUUGCUGAAGAAAUCUGACCAUUUUGUUUGGACAGAUGAAGCUGAUGAAGCUUUCGAAGCCUUGAAACGGCAACUGGUCAACCCGCCGGUCUUGGCCGCCCCGACUGAGAAAGAGCCCAUGCUUUUGUAUAUUGCGGCAAACUCCAAAGCAGUAAGUGUGGCGAUGGUCGUUGAAAGGAAGGAGGAAGGAAAGGAAUACCCAGUGCAGCGCCCGGUGUAUUUUAUCAGCGAAGUGCUAACUCUUUCCAAGCAACGGUACCCACAUUGGCAGAAGUUGGUAUAUGGGGUGUUUAUGGCGAGUCGGAAGCUUAAACAUUAUUUCCAAGAACAUCCCAUCACGGUGGUUAGUUCCUGUCACGCCCAAGAUGCGACCCUAUCCUCAAUUUGGCACGAGGGUCUCGUCAGGGAUAGAAGCGCAUCUCGUUGUGUCGCAAGAAUGGAUAUCGUUACAAGUACAAGUACUGAAAAGAAGAUAUAUAUAUAUAUAUAUAGAAUUGGCUUACACUCGCCACAAGCUACAUUAGAGUCACAUCAGUACAUUACAUAAUCAUCAAGAGUAAGAGCAAGGUCCGACUACGGACGAAAACAAACGAGAAAAGAAGAACGACGUCCAUCCUUGCUAUCCCAGGCUGCCGGCCUGGAACCCAUCCUAGAUCGAUGAAGAAGAAGAAGAAGAGGCAACUCCAAAUGAACAAUCAACACGCUCGCGUCAAGUAACCUUUACCUGUACCUGCAACUGGUGUUGUAGUNNNNNNNNNNNNNNNNNNNNNNNNNNNNNNNNNNNNNNNNNNNNNNNNNNNNNNNNNNNNNNNNNNNNNNNNNNNNNNNNNNNNNNNNNNNNNNNNNNNNGGACAGACCCUCUCCUGAGCCUCGUUGCAGCGGUGCUUAUCCUGUGUGCCGUACGCGUUGGCUGAUGACGAUCCAUGUAAACAAGUGUAUUAUUAGGUGCAACAUGGACUUAUAAGUCCCUAUAAACAAACAGGUAGGGACUCGGGACUUAUAAGUCCCUGUAAACAAACAUAAGUUGAGACUUAAAAAAGUCUUAGAACUUAUGAAACAAACAGGGCCUAAGUUAAGCCGAGGCGGCGGCGGCCGCAGGUGGUGGCGACGGCGCCUCGUAAGAUGGCGACGGAACGGGAAACCGGCGAGUCCACCAGGCAGCAGUCUGAAGCUCUUUAUUGGCUCCCUCCGAUCCAGAGUAUGGUUCGAGUUCCUCCACUUUCUAGGAAUAAGAUCAAGCGCAAGGGUCCAGCUGUCUCUUGUGUUAGAAAACCGGCGAGGGAGGACAGUUGUAAGAUAGAGGAGACGGAAGGCAGAUCUGGGAAGCAGGGGCAGUCUCAACUUCUUCAUGGCCAUCAAAUCCGGAAGAUGGAGGUUGAGAUGGACGAUAUUGACAUAGAUAAAUCAGUCCAACAAUUAGCCACGGAGCAGGAGGAGAUGGCCACCGAGGAAAAGAAUUUCUCUGGCCACAUAAGUUUCUGGCAAUCUGUACGGGGAUCCAUGGGGUGCGGCCGCUUUGAAGACACAAGUAAGUUGAAAUUCACGCAUACUUACUCAGUUUUCUUUAGCUAGCCACGUACGUAGUUUUCAAUUCCUUCCUGAGUUCCUGUUUUUUUCUUUUCUUUUGAUUGAUCGACCUUCCUUUUAUAAGUGGCAUGGGGAUUGAUUUGCCCUUUUGCUUAUCUAGCACUAGUACAUGUUAGAUUUCUAACACAUGCUUCACUUUGGUGCUUGCAUGCAGCACUAUUGAGUUCCAUGCACUUCACACACUUGACACCUAUACCUGGAUUAGUGGAUGGUGUGGUCGCAAAUACCUUGCAGAUCUUCUCCAUCAAAAUCGCAGAAAUCAAAGGCGGCUUCAAAUGGCCAUUGUUUGUGUACGGUGUGGUUGCUGCCAGGGACUCGGUCGAUUUUAAUCGCAACCUUCUCUUUUGGUGUGAUAGCACAAUGAGCCAAAUUGUUCGGGAAAAUGUAUGUAUAGUAUCUUUGCCUUUUGAUGAUUUUGUUUUGGAGAUAUUUCUGUUGGCAUAUGACCGUUUGGUCAUCUCUCUUGUUGAUUAGUAGUUAAUGAAGGGGUGAUUGGAUAAUGCUUGCAGGAUCCUUUUUUGCGCUUGAUUGGGCCAUCACGUGCAAUCCUGUUCAAAGAUCCUGUCCAGUUUGAAAUUCAACUGAGAGUUGAACAUGGAGCAAUGCCUCGAGACAGAGCAUUGAUCAGUACGAUGCACACUUUCUCUGCAGGUCUUCCUGGUAUGCAUACCAUUUGCUUUGAGAACGCCUUCUGCAAAAUAGAGUUAUGCAUGGAGCUGGUCCUGGAGUCAAUUCAGGCCACAGUCUGCAGUGUCCGUGUUGUCAAACAAGGGAGGCGGCAGCGUGUUGAGCAUCAUUGCCGAGUAGCUUGCUUGACAACAUCGUACUCCAAGCAUGUUGACGAUGCCCCAUUUGGUGAAGUCGUGCUGCUUGAUCCUCGUAGACAUGCAACGCCACAGGGUUCAGAUGGUUACCUUGAUCUGUCGAGGCGUGUGGUCUCUGUACAACGGGGAGGCCUCCUGGUAGUUGUUGUAGAGGCCUACUCACCAUCCUGUGUUAGGACAGCACAAGGGCACAUCUUCUUGGCUGCCAAAUGUUUUGGCUUCAGUCAAAAGACAUUUAAUGUUGAUGAUGCUGAGCUGGAGAUUACCGUUGCUUGGUCCCUCCUCGUCCCAGACAAGUAUAAACUCUUGAGACCAGUGAUGAUUUGAAACCUCCGAGUGUUUACCUGAAGAUGCUGGCUCACCAGGCAAAGCUUUGACGAUGUGUGUCCGCUCUAUAUUAUCUAAAAUGUCCCAACUGUUCUAUCAUGUAUGGACUAUAACAUGGGUUGUGUGAUUCGGCUGUGACUAAGUUAAUACUCCCUCCGUUCCUAAAUAUAAGUCUUUUAAGAAUUAUUGCUAUUUGGAAUGUAUCUAAUUCUAUUGAGUCUGACUCAUAGUGAUCAUUUCUCAAGAAUGACCAUGGUUCUUGGAUUUUUUUAUUUAAUCCCUUUUUUAUUUCUUCAAUGAUUAAUUGGAACUCCGAUUAAUUAUUUUGGCUGACUGUUUGUACAUAAAUAAUAAGUCAAAACGAAGUAGGAACAAGAAUGAUCUUCGGACAUACGGAAAUCUGUUUCAUGUAGCUUGGCAAGGAAAUUUUGAAUGAGAGAACCCCCCAAUAGAAAAACAUUGGAAAGGAAAAAUACUUCUAACCCAUGAACAGUUUGUGGCAAUGGAUUGGUUUGAUCAAAAUUUUCAUGUUAUUCCCGAAUGCUAAGGAGAAGAAGAGGAUUGAGUCGAAAGAAAAAGCUAUUUUCGAGUUUUAUAUCAACAAUUUAUUUGUGCAACGAUUGGAUCUGUCCAAGCACCUCGUUUAACAUUCAGGGCUUGUUUGGAUACGUUGCUAGAUGGUUUUCAUAGUUGACCUCCAGUGCCUCCGUGAGGAAGGCAUGUUUGGCGAUAGCCGCUGGCUGUGAUCCAGGCGGUGAAAUUGAGUCCGAACUAGAGGCCGACUCCUAGGGAUCCGAAGACUCGGUCGGACGCCGAGUCCAAAGUUAAAGCUUCGGAGUCUUUGGUCUCAUCGGCAGAAUCCGCUGGAAUUAGAUCAUCCCGCGAAUUGUUUGGGAAUUUGAGAUUCCCUAGCCUUGCUUGAUGGUCGGGGGCAAAACCUCCGAUAUGCCCGAGGCGGCCAGUCAAGUCUGCGCGCAGCAUGAUGCUGCCGAACGAAAGGACCUGUCCGGGGACGAGGAUGUCCCCGUUGCUGAUCCUGUCGCAGACGAUUACACGAGUCAUCAAUCUCUUCGGCGAUCUAACAGUGGAACUCUCAAUGAAAUCACCAAUGUCAGUGUGAAAACUGAUAGAUCACGGGUAGGGGGUCUUGAACUGUGGACCUAGGAUCGAUGGGUUGCAGGGAGAAGUGGACACAGUGGUUUUACCCAGGUUCGGGCCCUCCUAUGGAGGUAAUACCCUACGUCCUCCUCGAUUAUAUUGAUGAAGAUGAUUACAGAGUAGAUCUACCUCGAGAUCGUAUAUGCUAAACCCUAGAUGAUUCAGCCUCUUCCUCACAGAUAGGGGCUCCUGGUUUAUAUAGACACCAGGGACCCUAGGGUUUACAAGUUUACCGAGUAUAAUAAGGAAUAGAUGAGCCGACCUAGUCUUCCUAAGCUUGAAGUACACGCCAAUCUUCAGGAUAUUCCUUCCAAAGUAAAGGUCGUUGUAAGGCCCGGUCUUCUACAAUGCGGUCCAAUGGGCCCACCUGGUAUUGACUAACCGGCCGCCCGAGGACCCCAAAAUCCUGGACUCCCUCAACCCCCCUUUUAUCGCACACACAGACAAGGUGACAGUUUGAAACCGCGUCACUUAAAGGGGUUAAAAACUGUUUGCUUAGGACAUUGUUGCACCAGUGCUAGUACAAGUGCAUCGCUCAUACCAGCCGUCGCCGCCUCCCUCUCAUAUAUACGGAAAACUUCUAUGGACGCACAAAGAGAGGAGGAGAUGACCACAUCGCGAUCGCCAUCAGAACACUUGAGAAGAGAUCUAGCAGAGAGAGAACUUCAUUUAGACCCAUUUCGGCUUCCUCCACAUCACCCCCAUUCAUUCAUGUGCACCAUCGCCAUAGAGAGAUUAGUUCCAACUUCUAAUUGUAUUCAUACUUUGUUGAAGAUUGAGAUCAGAUCGAUCGUUCUUCUUAUUGCAGCAAGUAAUCCUCCAUAAGCAUGGGAGGUGUAGGGGAUUAGUGAGAUUCAUUCGUGCCUAUUUGAUAUGUUAUUUGUGAAACUAGUUCUAUGUUUGAUUAUUAAGUUGUCUACAUGUGGUGACCGAAAUGUGUGUUGUCCAGUUUAAGGGUCUAGGCAACAUGAUCAAAAGACUUACAUGUAACACAUAUGAUUCAACGAAUCCAAGCCCACUAGAUGAUGGUGUUGAUAUCUACGAGGAGCGAAGACGGUAUGAGGACAACAUGACUUAACUAGACUUAUUAAAGCGUUGAUUUGGUCCCACAACCUUAAUUGUUGAAAUGGUCAUGCACAUGGCUGCGUCGAUGCAGAAUACUAGAGGAGAACAAUUCCGGUAUGGAUGAUUUCUACUACCAAAGGGUGAACCGCCUACUGAACGUACAAUUAACGAGGUAGAGUUACAUGACAAGGUAACCCGUAUUACCGUCGCACUGGCACAUUUGAUGAAAGCUAUGAUCCGAAUUUCCCCCGCAUAACAUCUCCACUACAGACAUACGAUGAUUUAUUUUCGGCAAUUUAAUUUUUAUGUACUUUACUUUUCGCCCUCGUUACUUUGUUUUAACUCCCUUUCAUUUGUCUUCCAUGACUAAGAUCAUCCUUGCAGAUUUUUCAAAUAGUUAAUUCACACAAGAUUGGUGAAUUUUUUUCUUUAAGAAGUAAAGACCGAUGAUAACUUAUGUGUGAACGUAAGGCCAGCUAUUAACACUCUCCUCCGCUCUUAGUUGGAAUGAUAAACCAUUUAAAAUAUUGACAUGAAGGAGCUACAUAACUAUGUGUGUCUUGCAAGUCACCAGGGUACCAGUUAAUUAGUGAUUUUGUUGGUUUGUUCUAUUAAUUGAUUCGUGGUUUGGAAUUAAGAUGGGUUGGAUUAUAUUUCAAAGCCAAAAAAAUAUAUGCAAAUCAAAGUAGGGGCAACUAACUCACGGGCUUCCCUUGCGGGGUAGUUCCAGCGGACAGCUCGGGAGCACCCAGUGCUGCUAUGAGUCGCGUGUUGUGUUGUUUUUAAGGGUUUAUAGGUUUAUUCAAUUUUUCUUGGUUGUUCCUAGGGAUUUUUUUCCUUUUUCCAAAUUCUUUGUUUUUUUUUUGGUUUACAUCUGACAAGAGUUGGUGAUUAUUGCGCGAAAUCACAUGUGUGAUAUGUGUUUUUUAUGUGAGAAGCACAAUUAUGCUUUACAGCGAAGCACAAUUAUACUUUUGUACCCCCCAAAAAGAGAAGCACAAACUAUGCUUCCCAAAAAAGUGAAGCCCAAUUGUAUCCGUAAGUUUUUUCAUUUUUUCUAGAGUUUCUAUCUUUUGAGUCUGUUUUCUUCUAUGGUUUUUUAGUUUCUGGGUUUUUAUCUAUUUCUUCAUCAAUCACGGUUGUGCUUCUCGCAUGAUAAUUGUGCUUCUACAAAAGUGAAGCAUUUGAUGUGCUUCCAGGUGAAGCACAAGUUGCUACCAGUUGGAAGCACAUAUUUGCUCGAAAAAAAAGUUCAUCAAAUGAACUAGAGAUCUAGGUUCAAAGAUCUUGACGUGAAAAAGCAACAACGAAAAUGGUUCGUGAUUUGGAUGUGUAGUUCAAAACAUAAAAAGCUUUGAAAAAAUGAAACUACAAAAAAAACAUAAUCAAUCCCGCUCGUGCCUUCCGUGCAUAGAAAGAAAUCCCAUCAAAAUUUAUAGAUUGUGACAAGUGUCACACAUGUAGUGCUUUACUUGUCACCAUGAGAGUAAGUAGGAGUGAUCUUUGCAAGAGAUACCCCCUAAUGAGUGAUUUCGCGGUCACAUGGGCUGCUUGGACGCGUUGUCGGUAACUCUUAUUUAUCACUCGUUGCGACGAGUUGCUGGGCAAUCACACAAAAGAAAGUUAGGUCAUCCCAAUUAGUUUUACGAUUUUUGGAGGUUCUAGGUAUAGUUUUUCUGGGUUGUACAAAGGUUCUGAAAGUCUCAUGUCUAUAUUUUUAUUCCUUUUAUAUUCUUUUCUUUAUUAGUUUUUACAUUUUAUUUUCUUCUUAUUAUUUAUAUUUAUAAAAAUGUCCACAGUUUUUUUAAAAUGUUUCUAAAAUUUAAAAAAUAAUUGAACCUUUAUAAGAUGUUUCUCAAAUGUAUUAAAAAUGUUCACAAGUUUCAAAAAGUGUUCACACAUGUUUUUUAAAAGCACGUAGCUUUAAACAUAUUUACAUUUUUUAGAAGUGUUCGUAGAUUCCAAAAAAAAAUUCAGUUUUCUCACAAGUUCACGCAUUAAAAAAACAAAUCACACGCUUUUCCCUAUAAAUGUUCAUGUACCCCUCCGUCUCGGUGUAAAACUUAUUUAGGUUGUGCACCGUGAUCAAGAUGGAGAGGAAAACGAGAUAAAUCAAUGCUAAUUUGCUAAUUAAUACCAUUUCAUGUAAUAAAUUGACCAGUGCUUGUUAUGCUAGUUAGUCCCAAGUCAUUGAAAACAUACGAUCCCACAUUUCUUAUUGGUUGAUUCCUUUAUUCAUGUUGCAAAACAAGAAACGAGGUGAAACUUAAUGCACCGCAUCUAAAUGUUUUGAAAUUAUUUGGUUUUCGUAAGAUGACUUAUACACCGAAACAGAGGGAGUAACCAUUUUAUGUUGAAAACCGAAAAAAAGAAGACAAAGGAGGGGGCAAAACACGAUGACACUACAAGUUGCGGCACAUGCCUAACUAGGCCACCGACCUAAUACAACGCCCAUUGUGUGGCACCUCUACAAUCAUUCCUAUUGGCACGAGAUAGGAGCUCCCCACAUUGCCACUGCCAUCCAACAUCACCCCGGAGGAGGAAGCCAAACCCGUUGGGAAGCAAUUGUAGGCUGGAACUACAAUUUUAUGUUCGCCUCCACCACUUCAGGUGUACUAAUUUUAUGUUCGCCUCCACCACUUCAGGUGCUAUCCACCCACGAUGGUGUACUAAUUGUAUGUAUGUGCUUCGCUAUGGGGAGAACACCGUCGCGACACUGCAGCAUCUGUAUGAUGUCGUUCGACGAGAAGCAUGUGUCUUCCUCUCGAACUUCCAUCCAUCCCAUUAUGUAUCGAAAUUGUGUUACAGAGUGAUAUUGUUAGGUAAAGGCAGAGAUUAAUAUUGGAUAGAUUCUUACAAUCCAAAAGUUAAAUGGAGGACACUUGCUUACUUUGCAAGGUCAUGUGUUCGAGCAAACACGGUGACAAUCCUUAACAAUUCUCACUUUAUAAUAUCCUAUAAGUAUUACAUUCUCUAUUUUCCAUUGUCAUGGAGUAAUAUAUUUAAUUUUGUCAGCCACCGUCAUUGCUGGUACAUCCUUGAGUUAGUUGUAUUUUUUCCCACUAAUCAGGGGUCACGGCCGAUGUAAUUAGGCGCCCUGCUAGGCCCUGGUUUACUGCUAUCGAAUCUUAGAGCCUCUGCAGCUACAACUUGCAAAUUCGAACCCUUAAAGGUUCGUGGACGCAUCAUCAGUGACUAGGUGUGUUCCUUAUUUGUUUGUCUGUAUUUGUAAUUUUUUAUAUGUCCGAUCACUUUCACGUGUUUGAUGGAGAGAUGGAGAAAGAAAGAAAAGAAUGAAUAAGAAAAAAAAUGUGGUCCGGGAUGGGGUCGUGUUCUAUGUGGAUACUGACCGGGCGCGUCCGGACACGUCCUCAUAUCCUCCCUAUAUUUAAGAUGAAUAAAAAGGUUCGUGGACAAUUCAUACAUAUAAGGACGAUAUGAGGAAUCCGGUUGAGUCAUUUUUUUUCCUUCUCUCUCCUGUCCGAUCACUGAAUGAAUGUAUCCGUGAACAUAUGAAGAGUCAUUUGAGGGUCCGGAUAUAGAUGCUGUUAACACCUCACAGCUACGCUUGUAUCCUUUCAGUCCGUACGUGUGAGCUCGUUAUGAACCCCUUGAUAGAUACAUGCAUGGAUAGGUUAAAAAGAGGUGUGAGUAUUUUCACAAGAAAUAGCGAUGCUGAGUUGGUUGCUAUAGUCACGUUUUGGCUGGACAAGAGGUAAUAAGUUCAAUCACCAGGCGUCCUAUUUUUCUCGCGUCAGUUUUUUUUGUCGGUUAGGUGUUGACUAAUGGUCAUAGUGGUAAGACUAUCCAUAGUAAAACUAAACACAGGUAGUAACAUAGAUGUCACAUAAAUAAAAAAGGGAAACACUUCCUAUCAUACAUCUGAUAGGUAUCAUACAUCUGAUAGGGAGAUAUUCGUCAGACCAGUUGAGGAACGUUGAUGGGCUUUUAAUCGCACCCCUGAUUUGCUUCCAAAAUCCAUUCAUUAUUCAGUUUCCAAACGAGCCUGAUUUCUUGCCUUGUCCGUCUCCAUAGAUCCCGCAAAUAAUCUCAGAUGCACCAACUCUCCCGACUCUAGCCUGCCCCCGCUAGGCCGCCACAGCUCCAUCGCCGAGCUGGCCACGCCCCUCGCCGAUCUGGUUCUUCACCGGUGCGUCCUCUGGAACAGUUGUCGCCCACCUGCGCCGUCCAAUUCCUCUCUGUGCUGGUGUACUCUGUGCUGCCCAUGAUGUUCUCUCCUGCAUGGAAAACCCAAAGACGUUCUUAGGUUGCCGCAUGCGUCGAUCCUGUUGUUUCUAGGUCGUAUUACAGGAGAAAUGAUCAGAUGAGACGGGCCUGAUGAUGUUGUUCUAAUUUUCUUGCUGUUGUACUUGUACUACAUGUCCAUCGGGAGCAAGGCUGAUAGAAAACAAGAGAAAAGAAACGAUGAAUUCAAACAUGUAUGCUUCGGAUUGAAAGGUCCUCUACCAGGGUAACAUUCUCUCAUUUGUAUUGAUUAAUAUUUGCAAUUUUGUUUUGCUUCUAAUAUUAAUGUUUCGUUCAGAUAUGCAUCUAGUUAAUCUGUUGUACUGCACCUAAUACCGUGGCGAGUCUUUUUCGCCAUGAUUUUUGUCGAGUGCAUCUAUUUUAUAGUCGAUGUGUUUCUUGCCUCAUACGAUGGCGAGUCUUUUUCGCCAUGAUAUGGUAGUGCCGUACCAACCGCAUUGCCAGCAAUGAUUUGCAGGCGGGAUGAUGGAAGCGGAGAGGAAGCACAUGUCGGAGCCAAGCGCAUCACACCGGUUGAUGGCGCCGAUGAUGGAAGCGACUUGUAGCCUGCAACCGAGCAUCUGACCUGACCUGACAAAUAGGGAUCGCCAUGAGGCCGUGUUCACCUGUGCACCCAUACCAGCAGCUUACACCCUGCCAAUGGCACUGAUAUGGUGCUUCCUCUGGACGACAGCAUGACCCUCUAGGACUGCACGCCCCAGGGUCCUGCACCAACGAUUUUCUUAACACUCCAUGAUCUAAGUUUGGAAGCAAUACUUAUAUAGUUUGGAUGCAAUGGAAAAAUAUUUUUUUUGAAGCAAUACUAAUGGACCUAUGUCAUCCAUGGCAGUUGAUGUGAACCGUGCGUCGCGUCAUUUUGGCCACACGGCACACAUAGUCGUUUAUUCAUUCCAUUAAGUCCUUGUUGUGCAGAAGCAAAAUCUAAUUCUAUUUGGAGCAAAUUUAUCUUAAUUUUUGAAGCAAACUUCAAUAUUUUUUUGAAGCAGUCUGAUGUUACAUUCGGGACAAUUCUAUAGCUGCUUGAAGCAGAUAUAUAUUUUUACUGAUCAAAAUAAUUUGUCGUCGAAGCAAUGUAAUUAACACAAAAAAUAUUUCUGCAUAGGAAGCACAAAUAAGUUGCACCAAGCUGUUGGAAACAAAAGUUUUUUAUUUUAGCAAUGCAUUCCUAUUUCAUCGAAGCACGUGUAAUCGUGAAAGCGAAACCAUCAGAAAUGUGGUAACAAUUUAUGUUUCAUUCGAAGCAAUUCGCUACUCGGCUGAACAAUUUUUAAUGUUUUGGAAACAAUAUAUCAUUAUAAGGCAAAAAAUUAUGUCAAAUUGAAGCAAAUUCUAUUAUGUGUCGGAACAUUAUAUUGCAUCGUUGAAAACAAGUCUUUAAUUUUAAAAAAUCAGAUUGAAGCAAUUUUCAAUCAAGAUGGAAGCAAAGUUUGUCAUGCUAGAUACAAACUAUUAGAUUUCAAACCACCUAUCUAGUUUUCCUUGUCCACUAACAAAAAGAAGAAGAAAAAAGAGCAUGUAACACCAAUUCCACGUACUUCACGGAAGGAGUUAAGAAGCAGUUAAAAAGGAAGCAAAACUCAAUUAGUGGACCAUGCAUGUACACCUACCUACCUAGGCCCACAUUUCCUCAAGCCAUUCUAUUCAUGCAUCGCAUGCAUGAGAAAUCAUUAAUCCGACGGCAGCCAGCUAGGCUGAUGGUUGCAAGUAUCCAGACAUCUGAUGCCUAGUGAUGCCCAAUAAAAAAUAUGAUGUGUUAGUUAAUUAAUAAGAAGAAAGAGAAUUUGAAUAACAUAGCUAGUUACGAAUAUUAUAAGCAAUAUAACACAUAUCAAGACAAGAUAAGUCUAUAAACUAAUAAUGGAAACGCUCAAUAUUAUCAUUUCUAUAUUACUAUUCAUUGUGAAGGUAACUUAGACUAGUAACAUAUGCAUGUUAUUAUUUUAUGUUACUUUUCAUUAUGGAUAGUCCAAUGAGUUCGAUCACCGGCGCUUCCAUUUUCUCGGUGCUAGUUUUUUUUUCUCACGUGGCUCAACAGCCCAUAAGAAAAGGUCCAAUGAAGGACAAAUCUGGUCCAACAAAUAGGUGUUCAAAACCAAUAAAAUCAUCUAAACAAAACAAAAUCAAGAGUAUUACCUUGCUUUAUUAAUAGAUAUAAAUUAUGGAGCAAAUUAAUGAUGGCAUUGUAACGUUACGUGGAACUAGCAUAAUGGUCCGCGCAACUGGGUGCUAGUGAAAAUUCGAGUAAAAGUAAGAUACAUUUUUAUAAGGCCCGUGCUUCUGUGUUUAACAUACAUCCUAUUGUAUUCAAACUCGGUAGAGUGUGAAAACAUAGUAACAUAUGCUUGACAUUUGACAUCUGUCGAUGUUAAAAUCGACGGAUCUCGGGUAGGGGGUCCCGAGCUGUGAAUCUAAUAUCAAUGGUAACAAGGAGAGCAGGGACACGAUGUUUAUCCAGGUUCAGACCCUCUCGAAAAGGUAAAACCCUACAUCAUGAUUUAACUAGAUUUUGAUGAUAGGUAUCAAGUACAAGUUGAUAAUCUACCUCGAGAUCAUUGUGUAAGCUCUAAACCCAAAGAUGAAUACGUUGGUCCUCUACAGACUAAACCCCAGGGUUUAUAUAGAUACCCAGGGGGAGCUAGGUUACAUGAUUAAGUCGGUAAUAGGCAAGUUGAAUAUGGAGGCAUCCUUAGAGUACACACCAAGUCUUUGAAGGUUUUUUUUCUUGACACGGGCAAGUCUCGACGUUCCUGUUGGUCUCCCGAACAUUGCUUGAUGGACCCCCAGUUCGGUCCGUAAGAACUAAACACCUCGAGUUGGCACCCCUAGUCCAGGACACCCUUAACAUCUUACCACUUGAAUCAACUUCUAGAUGUGUUUAUGGUUUACAUAGCCAUUUGUAUGUGAUUAUGCACUGAAUAGGACAAACAAUCAUAUGGGUUGUUCCAUAAUCAUCAUAUAACCCAACGAUGGAAUGGUAAAAUAGCUCGUAUAUUUAUAUCGCUUUCUCUUUAAUGUACCAUUACUAAGAAUCUGAGUGUGCUUGUCUGCUCGAGCUCAUAUGAGCUUGGUAUGAGCAGUAAAAUCCGAAAAAGAAAUUUAAAAAUCUGAUUUCUUUUUGUGAUAAUUUUUGAUAAUUGUUUUGAAUGAUUGCAAAGUUUCAUCAUAGGAUGACAUUUAUGGAAGUUGUGGCAAAAAAAAUCAAUUUGUUUUUUAUGUCUCCCACGUUCCACGAAUGUCAUUCGAUGACGAAAUUUUACAAGCACUUAAAACAUUCAUCAAUGUUUGAUCGAAAAAUAUAUUUUUAAAAUAUGUUUUGAUUUUUUUGGAUUUUAUUAUUCACCGAGCUCAUCAGAUAAUUGACGUCCUACUAUGUAGUACUUUUUCCGUCUAAAUUAUUUAUCUUAGAUUUAUCUAGAUACAGAUGUAUUUAACACUAAAACAUAUCUAAAUAAAUUUAAGACAAGUAAUUUGAGUCGGAGGGAGCGACAUUUUAUUCUUUCUAACAGAGAUAUUCGGACUGUCAUACAACAAAGUACUAUUUUACCAUUCCAUCGUAUUUGUCGCGGCCUGAUUGUAUGUUUGUUGUAUCCAAGCAAAUGAAUCUGAUUCAUGGAGUACUAGAACAUGUGAUCCUCUGUAUGUUUGUUCGAAUAUCUUUGUCGCAGCCUGAUUUUAUAUUCGGACUGUCAUACAACAAAUGAGUCAUACAACAAAUGAAUCUGAUUCCAUCGUAUUUGUCGCGGCCUGAUUAUAUGACAGUCCGAAUAUCUCAUUUGUCGCGGCCUGAUUGUAUGUUUGUUGUCUCCAAGCAAAUGAAUAUGAUUCAUGGAGUACUAGAAGAUGUGAUCCUCUGUUUGUCAUGUUGUAUAGUUUUGCAGGGAAUAUCUUUCGAGUGAUCAUUGUAUUUUAGCUUACUUAGUCAGGGUAGACUUGUAAAUGUUACUGCCUUAAAUGUCCAAAGUUAAUGCAUAUUGUUGUACGUCUGGUCUGGAUUUUCAACACGGGAAUCUGAAAGUUUUCUCAAUGGUCGAACUGGUGAAAGAAUGCAGUGGUCGGUUUCCAUGCCCCUGCCUUCUACCAGAGGCUGGUUGAUACGCAUCGCGGAAGACCGGGCCUGCGCGCGUUCUCACAACGGUGGAGGAGGCUGAAGCGCUAGCGAUUGGCCAGGUACCAAUCGGAGGAGCUAGUUAAUACAGUACCUCGUACUCUGUUCUCCACCCUGCAUGCUCCUUGAAAACAAACAAAAGGAAUAUCUUGGAUCAUAAACCGUUGCAGCAUUGGGUAGCUCUCCAGCUUGCAGACCGGGAGCAGAAACGCACUCACGCACACAUAUUUGCAUCUCCGGAUGCCAUCACAAUCAGACAAGAGAACCAAAGAAACACAAGCAAUCAAAAGAGACAAGAAACAUGAUCGAGCAGACUCUCUGCUCAUCAAAGAUUCAUUUGCUUGGAUACAACAAACAUACAAUCAGGCCGCGACAACACGGAGCAAGAGGAGAAAAAGAGACGCACCUCCAUGAAUCUGUACGAACAACACAAGGGGGCUCGAUCACAGCAUCAAAACCCUCCUCCCUACCUGAGCGAACAACAACGGACACGAACCAAGAAGUGAUGAUUGAGGGAACUCCAUGGGAGACAGACGGCCUCUCCUCCUCCUCCUACGGCACGAGGAAGAAGAACGUCAUCUCGCCUCUGGGAACAAUGCUUCACCACCGAAGAUACUUAUACCGCGAAUAUCUCCAUCCACGUCCCUUCGAGGGGCUCCAAUUUGACCCGCUCUGAAACUCAUCAUCUGGCCGGGUUUCUGAACUUUGAACGACAGUAUCGAUCUCCUGCAGUGACAGGGAUCCUGUGCACUGAACCUGGACGCCUUCAUGUAGCUUUUUUCCUCUGUUGCAGCACUGUGGUGGCACAGGGCGUGCUGCCCCAUCGGUGUCCCUGCUUUUCUUAUUCUCCCUUUAUACCGCCUGACCAUAACAGUCACGCGUAAUGGGACAGGUAGCUAGCUGGCCCAUUGGAUUAGACGGAUUUUGUAAUGGAAAAUGCCGGAUUAGGUCUAUGUGCUCUGCCAUUAGGAUUACCAAAUGUGUCCUAGCAGCAUCAUUGUCUGCGUGAUAGCUGGCCUUUCAUUAAAAUUGAAAUAACACUGAUGAUGAACGUGCUGCGUGAAAGACUAGUUUGUUUAUGUGUGAUGGUGAUCUCACGCUCAGUUCAUAAUCAGUCAUACGAGACCAACUCAGCACUCUCCGGUCCUGUUCCAUCACAACAUGGAUUAACCAGCCACGGCUGCGAAAAGUAGAGUGGAUUAGUAGGCCAUCAAGUUAGUGAACCGACUGUGCUUUUAAACUGUACAUAAACACCGAUUUUUAUAUCCUCUUUUUAUGUAAGUAGAGGUGGCACCCGUGUCAUCCGGCUGCACCGAUCGAAUGCAAGCCAUAAACAGCGUGAAAUCUUCAGCAUGUAUCAGGACGCGGAAAACAUUUUGUCUUCGUCUACCUAAGUUCCCGAUCACUUUAUGGUUCUUCGCCAAAGUUUGCUCACUUUAUCAAAGAUACUGCACUCACAGCACUACAGCAACUAACACGUCCACUCAUGACCUGCACCGCAUUAUUAGCAGAGAUUGCCCAGGAUCCCUGCUCGUGUGCCUGGCCCCAAGCCUGUCCUGCAAGUGGCCCGAGCUUUGGACCAGUUGCAUGGUGAGAUGACGGUGAUUAUGGCGUGAUCACUGUAACUCCCUUCGCAUACGCUGACAGAAAUGUUCGUGGAGAGAAACCGAGCGACGACGACGACGACGACACUGAUCUCUAGCUAGCUGCUGGAGAUAAGGAAUUUGUAGGUUGGGCACGCAUCUUUACUCCAUGAGCCAGUUUUUCUAGAGCUGCAAAUCUAGCUGAGUAGUGCCGCCCAAAAAAAGGACACGUCACAUGAGAUUCCCUUCACUCUAGCUUCUAACCUAGGCUGCAUCACGGCUAGGUGCAUUCCCAGGUUCAUCUAUCCGGCUCCAAGACCUUGCAUGCAUUUGCACACCACAGUCCACAUGACACAAACAAGCUUGCUAGCUACUACUCUGUGUAGAUCUUUAGUCUUUCGCCUAGACAUAUAAAUAGCAGCCGGCUAUGUGCUCAUCAGCAGGGUAGAUUAGACAAGUGAGGUGUGGUCCACGGGAGAUGAGCAGAGUCCUAGCAAGUUUGGUUGGUUGUCAACUGGAGUUCUCCUCAAAUCACUUCAGUAGCUAGCUUAACCAUGUCUCGGUGCAUUGACACUUUUGUAAGUGCGCGCAGUGAGCUCGACAGCUGUGCAUAGUGAAGUGUUUGGGGGAACUCUGGGUGGCGACCAGCAAUAUCAAUACAGGUUUGAGAGUGUUUGUGUUUCAAUUAUAGUGCUAGAUCCAUGUAUGAAAUCCAUAUACAUGAUGAUGGGUACGUGGGAAUUAAUCGAGUUUGGCCACGUCGGGAGCUCCCUUCAAGCACUUCAGGAAGCAUCUCUUUCAGGGCAUUUCUGAAGUGUUUGGGGGAACUCUUGUUGUCGCCAAGCAUUUCGUAAACAUAUGGAGCAUAUACCAUAAGAGAGAUGUACCAAUAGCAAACCAAGUUUGGUAUUACCGAGAGUUCCCUUCAAGCACUUUACGGAGUACCUCUCCAAGGUAUUAUGUGAAGUGUUUGGGGGAACUUUCGGUGUGGCCAAGCAUUUAGCAGAUAUUGCAGGUUAUAUACCACGAAAGAUGGCAAGACAUGUUUAGUAUUACUCGGAGUUCCUUUGAAGCACUCCACGCAGACUCCACGAAGCAUCUUUUUGAGGGCUUAUGUGUAGUGUUUGAGGGAACUCUAGGUGUCACCAGACACUUGCUAGUUACUAGCCACAUGCCAUAAGAAAGAUGCACUAAUAACAAACCACAUUUGGUAUAACCGGGAGGUUACUUCGAGCACCUUAUGAAGCACUCUUUUGAGGUAUUAUGUGAAGGUUGGGGGGGGGGGGGGGGUUCUUCGUUAAACCAACCAUAUAGCCGACAUUACAUGUCAUCAACAAAAAGAGAAGCACCAAUGGCGGAGCCAAUUUGGUAUUACUAGGAAUUCCCUUCAAGCACUUUACAAACAACCAUAACUUCUACUUUUACAUGCAUUUAUUUUCCUGCAAUUAUUUAUUUUGAAAAGAAAAAAAAUACUUCCAACCUUAGAGAUAAACCCAUAACAUGUUGCAACUAGCAAAACUAGUGAGAUUGGGAAUCUCACUACAUUUGUUGGGGACAAGAGUGAAGUUCCUUGUUUGUGGUGCAGUAUUUUUGUCAGAGUUAGGAGUGUUGCCUCUAUGGGUUGAUCCUUGUUUUUUGAACCGAGGGGAAGACUUGCCACUUGCUUCAAGCCCUUGCACUUGGGAUCCCAACAAUUGUUAUCAAGAUUGACUCCUUGGAGCAGCAAACAAAUUUUGUGGCAUCUUUGCCAGGUGGUAACAUUAAGUCUCACAGGCUCCGCAAUACUAUUACUUCAUGUUCCUCGUUAUUUACGUUAUGUAGACAUUUUUAUGUAUUCUGGUUUUUUUGGCAUUAUUUACACAAAAAAUAUAUUUUUACUUCAACAUGUAGUUAAUUUUCUUUUACUUAGCAGCAAUGGAAAGCCUAUCCAAAAAUGCGGUGCCACUUGAGCUAGAAAUUCUUGUCUUUCGGCAAAGUGGAGGUGAAACAUUAAAAGACUCUUUGUAUAUGAUCAAAAAUUUGCAUUAUAGGUCUGAACAAAAAUGCUCAACAAGUGCUCUGCCCAGGGAAGUUUUAUAUUGUAAUGUUUGCCUGUUUUAAAUAUGUACUGGUUACUAUAACAUGAGUUCUGACAUGGUUUCCUUUUGCUUAGUAUAGCUGCAGCUAUUUGGCGUCCGAUUUAUCUUAAGCUGUUGUAAGGAUUGAAAACUUGGCAAUAAAUAUAGCUGUGUCCAUCAUCUAAUGCACAUGCAAGGGUGUUUCUCCUUUCACAAAAAGAAGAAGGAAAAUAGUAACGCUUGCAAAGUAUUUUGGCACAUAGAUCAUUGAAAUGAUCUCACCUAUUUAUAGGAGUAAAUAGUUUGGCAUAAAAACAUGUUCAUAAUAUUAGCUAUUAUUUUUUCAUUACUAGUACAUAUCUGUAAAAACCCAAUGCUCAUAAGUGCAUGUUUGAGAUUUUUGUAUAAAUGGUGUUUUUAUUCACUCAUAACUUAACAUUUAGGAUGGGAAUGGGCUGGAUCGGCCCGCGAGGUCGUUUACCCCACCCAAAAAUUCGUGGCCAAUGGGUCAUGUGGCUCGGCCUCAAAUGAGAUUUGGGUCAACAGAGCUGACACCGGGUGACCCUCUGGGUCAGCCUGGUCGACCCACCAUAGAGUAUUAUAUCUCACAAUAGUUGCAAUCUUUGUUAUGUCGGCGUUGUCGUAUGACCCGAUUUUACGAGGCAGUGUGUCAUAUAAUUUCUGACAAAUGCUCAUGUAUAUGAAAAAAAUAGUCUUGAUAUGUUUCAGCAAGAUGUGCAUUUACAAAAUCACAAGCAAAUGACUUGAUUUUUUAAGUUAACCAUGUAUUAGAAAUCUUAUUAAUUCUUACACUAGUCAAAUUCCAGUAAACCGUGACCAAUUUUAAUAUCUCAUUCGUCCAUAAAGAAAUGUAAAGUAAGAAUUUAGGUAGACCCGAAACACCCAUGGGGCAAACAAAGACACUGACUAUUAUUUAUAUGGGUUGACCCGUGACCUCACAAAUUGGCCCUGGGGCCAUAGGGGCCGGGUCCAAGGCCAGGUCCGGCGGGCCCAUUUCCAUCCUGAUGUAACAUCAAGGGUCGGCAUGUGCAUGAUUAUGAUGACAUCAACGUGCAGACAGAGAGGACCAAAAUCAGGAAGACUAAUUAAGACUAAAAUCAUGAUGACUCGGUAGAGAAAAAAUAAACAAAACCCCAAAGCUAAAUCGAUGAUGGGCAAGUUAUAGACCAUGCUAGGGUUUUUGGCUCCCGUUGGCAGCGGGGCAAUUUGCCACGUCUCAUGUGGCCUUAUGGCCAUGGAUGAGCGGUGGAUCCCGGCCCUUGCUGAUGGAAGGGCUCCGUUUUUAAGUGCUUCUUCAAGUUUUGUUAGUGUUUGUCUUCUGUUCAGGAAGACAAGACGACGACGGCUCCCUAAAGUUGGAAUAAAGUUCUUCCCGCCUAGCCUCCGUCCUGGUGACGCGCCUAACAUCGUCGGAGGACGUGUGGAGGUGUGUCUGCGGCGGAUCUCACGGAUUCGAUCAAUGGUUAUCUUUGGUGGAUCUGCUUGGAUCCGAUCUUUGUUUGUCUUUGUUGAUGUGUCUUCUGGUUGGAUAUUUUUAAUCUAACCUUUUCUUCAUCGACGGUGGUUGUUGUUUUGCUCCGGUGUGGGAGGGGCAAUGUGAGAGUUUCCCGGAAAAUAAAAAGAGACCAUGCUAGGGCCUAUAAUGUCACUUAUUAAUACCUGUGAAAAUGUGAAAGUAGCAGUAACAUUUUUUGGAAGCGCAAUUCAACGUCCAUGUAUACGUUCUUAAUGCUAGCUAGGUCGAUUCAUCAUUCAUUGCCAAUUGCCCUAGGCUAUGCGUCUCAACUAUUACAACGCUCGGAGUCCUUCAAACUCAAAUCAGACCAAAUCGGCGGCUCGUAUAUGUCUGAUUCGAUCUAAUGGCACGUAGCAUCCGUCAUGUCUUGCAGAAGUAGCCGAAGGGCACACUGGGAGUCGAGAACUCCGCCGAGAGAAUCUUUGCCGCGACGACGGCGUUCGCGGCGUUGGUGUAGUGCACUCCGUCCCAGCUGACGAACUUGGAGCCGUCCUCGCACACCCGGUAGCCGGCGCCGAGGCAGCUCACGCUGGCGUUGUAGUUGUAAGGCGGCCCGCCGUAGCCGCAGCACGCCAUGAGAGGCUCCUCAAACCCUGAGACACCAGCGGCCCCGUAAAAAAGACAGAGGAUGCAUGCAGUUGUCUCCAGGUUGAUGGAUAGGAUUGCUGAACGAUCGACUCACCGUAGCCGCUGUGGUUGGCGAUGAGGUCGUGCUUGAUGGACAGGACGUCGGUGUACACGAUGGUGGCGCCUUUGAGCUGCGACGUGAGCUUGUUGCAGACGGUGCAGAGCUGGUCGUUGAACUCGUAGGAAGCGUUGUUGAGCGUUCUGAGGCAGCCGCCGUCGUCUAGAUCGCC
RNAcentral lists this long non-coding RNA (31041 nucleotides) under Hordeum vulgare. Its description in RNAcentral is "long non-coding RNA (HVUL_LNC005529)". The stretch from base 27497 to 27582 matches the Rfam family "mir-395 microRNA precursor family". The record is from RNAcentral. Lineage: Eukaryota; Viridiplantae; Streptophyta; Magnoliopsida; Poales; Poaceae.